GAGUCAUACCUAUAUCUGCCUCUACUAAUUUCAUCUUUGUCUUGGUUAACCAUUUCAGGCAGCUCUAGCAUAUGGGUUGAUAUGAAAUCAAUUUUGUCACCAAAGGGAGCUGACAAGGGAUAAGGCAGUCCAAGCUCUCUCAUUGUUAUAUUAGUUUUAAGUUUAUUACUUUUUUGUUAGAAAUAGUAUAGUUUUGCUUUGUAAUGUAUGUACUGAGAUUCAAGCCUUUUGGUUUUUGAUGAUAUAUAUUAAAAUCUUAUGAUUUUGGUGUUUUCUCACUAGAUGUUCUUGCUAUAUCAAUCAAUCUAAUGUAGUAUCACUUCUCUAUGAACAACAUAUGUCUCCUAGUAUAUGGUGACUAGAAUUCUUUCAGACGAUAGAAAAUUGUUGUUGAAAACAACCUCAGACUACAUAUUGUUCAAAUGAAAUCAAAAAUCUGCAGUCUAAUGCAACAAAAGACGACAUAAAUGUGUCAUAACAAACAACUUCAUACUACAGAAAGUGAUGUAUCUUUGUGGUCCCUAUACAGUAUUCAACGACAUAUAUAUGUAGUGUUUGCACAUUUCAAGUACAUUAAUCUGUAGUUACAGUGCAACAUCAACAACAUAGUUCUGUAGUGCAAUUCUAAAACAGACGACAGAAUAUCCUCGAUCCUUUAAUUUUGAGUAACCCAGACGACACACACUUUAAGUUCAUAUGUCGUCUGAGUGCAUGAUAGUCCACGGUUUUUAUCUGUCGUCUGAGUUGUAUAGAAACGGCAGCCACUUAUGCUACAGUCAUAUACAUAGUCAUAAUCUAACUACAUAUCCUGUUGGCAUAAAGCCAAGGCACAUAUAUGAAAUAUCCUAGAACAACCCCCGCCGCGUGUCUACAUGCCGAAAGGUGCAUAUACGGUGUUGCCUCGUCAAAACCUUGCCAAGUAACAAACACCAUGUGGGAAAAACUAAACCUUGGUCGAAGGAAAAAAAAAUACAACGCACCAACUACUUCAUUGAGAAGUCGACCAUAUGAUGCUCCCCCUGAUAAGUAUCUUAAUCGGAGGGACUUGAUAAACGCUACAUUCCAAUGUUUUUCACAUUUUUCUCAAAAAUAGAUUUAAACCAAGAUUUAAGUAAGUCUGCCAUGUGUAAUGAUUAACCUUAACUAAACAGAUGUUGAUCAAUGAUCUCUGUAAGAGACAAAUAAUGCAUGUGAUGUUGCCUCGUUAAAAACCUUGCCAAGCAAAAACUCAGUGGGACAAAAGUCUUAGUCUAAGGGAAAAAGGGCACAACAGGGUUGAUACGACACAACCGCACCCUUCAAAUUUGAUAAUGACAUGUACGUGCUAGACUCCCCUUAAAGUCUGCAUCUCCCUCUGAUCUUUACAUCAAUCAUAGGGCUCUUCUUGAUUCUUAUUAAUCACGGAAGUUGCAAUAACUUAGCAUUUCAAUGCUCUUAAAUCAUGUCUUCAAAUAUGGCAUUGGGCAAUGAUUAUCUAGAUCAUGCCGUAUUGUCCUCAAACAUGAUCUUUUACACUUAGAUCUUGAGGAGAAGGCCGCUUGUGAACUCAAAACAUAAGUUCGCGUUGGAAAUCAGAUUUCCGUGCAGCAUGACCUUCGGGUACUAGAACAGUCAUAACUUUCUCUAGGAAAUACAUAUGAACGAACCAUAAACGGUUUUGGAAACUAGACUCAUUUAGCUUUCCAACCGUAUAUCACACACAUUCUGGUUCCUUAAGAGCUGUUCACAAAGUCCGGUCAAAGUUGAUUGUUUUGGCAAAAUCAGAUUCUCGGACAGAUCCGUCUUACUUUACAAAAAUAGCCAUAACUCACUCAAUAUGAUAGGUAUAAUCAAAUGGUUCGUAUCCCUGGAAACUAGACACAUAGACCUUUCCAAUGGUGUCAAUUUCACCAUUUU
RNAcentral lists this long non-coding RNA (1896 nucleotides) under Fragaria vesca (wild strawberry). Its description in RNAcentral is "long non-coding RNA (FVES_LNC003048)". The record is from RNAcentral. Lineage: Eukaryota; Viridiplantae; Streptophyta; Magnoliopsida; Rosales; Rosaceae.